AAUAAGAACAAUUUUGCACUGUUCAUGUUUAACGUUUAACUGUUCGUUUUAUUUGAAAAAAAAUAUGAUUAGUAUUUUUAUUGUUAUUAGAUGAUAAAACAUGUAUAGUACUUUAUGUGUGACUAAUUUUUUUUAUUAAUUUUGAAAUAAGACGGCCGGUCAAACGUUGGAGACGGAUACCGACUUAUU
Molecule: non-coding RNA, 189 nt
Organism: Oryza glaberrima (African rice)
Lineage: Eukaryota; Viridiplantae; Streptophyta; Magnoliopsida; Poales; Poaceae
Source: Rfam